RNAcentral lists this ribosomal RNA (305 nucleotides) under uncultured bacterium. Its description in RNAcentral is "bacterial SSU rRNA". It matches the Rfam family "Bacterial small subunit ribosomal RNA", at positions 334 to 652 of the family's 1533-position model. The record is from RNAcentral.
UACGCCCUACGGGAGGCAGCAGUGGGGAAUAUUGGGCAAUGGGCGCAAGCCUGACCCAGCAACGCCGCGUGAAGGAAGAAGGCUUUCGGGUUGUAAACUUCUUUUCUCAGGGACGAAGCAAGUGACGGUACCUGAGGAAUAAGCCACGGCUAACUACGUGCCAGCAGCCGCGGUAAUACGUAGGUGGCAAGCGUUAUCCGGAUUUACUGGGUGUAAAGGGCGUGUAGGCGGGGACGCAAGUCAGAUGUGAAAACCAUGGGCUCAACCUGUGGCCUGCAUUUGAAACUGGGUUUCUUGAGUACUGG